GCUGAGCCCGGCAACGUGGGCUUGUAACCCGAGUGGGGGCUGUAAGGUGGUGGAACGUUGACUCAGCCCAGAUGGCCGGGUUCAGAUUAGCUAGAUUCUGGCUCGCCCGUUUCAAGCCAGGAGUCGAGCCAUGGCUUCCGAGUGAAGACGUGGGUGUCAUGGCUCCUAGAGUGGAGGGUACAGCGUGAGGCUGGCUUCACAGAGCAGCGACUACUUCCCUCUCUUGGCAGUGAAAGGAUAACGUGUCGGUGCUGUCUGAAGUCCAUCUGGCUUAAUGGGCUGGUCUAACUGGACCAUCACUUU
RNAcentral lists this signal recognition particle RNA (303 nucleotides) under Salix viminalis (osier). It matches the Rfam family "Plant signal recognition particle RNA". Lineage: Eukaryota; Viridiplantae; Streptophyta; Magnoliopsida; Malpighiales; Salicaceae. The record is from RNAcentral.